AGAGAAGGGGUCUCGCUGUGUCGUCCACUCUGGUCUUGAACUCCAGGGCUCAACUGAUCCUCCCUUCUUGGCCUCCCAAAGUGCUGGGAUUACAGGCAUGAACCACCACGCCCAGCCCUGUUUUCUUCCUUAUGUGGGUUUUUGGGGAUGGAUUAUAUAGGGGCCAUUCAUUUUUGUUUGUGGUGGUUCUGACACAAUUCUCAUUUCAGUGUCAUUGUUAUUAUCAAAUUGCCUUUAGCUACAUUGGAUUUUUUUGGGUGUUUUUGUUUUUUUGAGACAGAGUCUCGCUGUCAGCCAGGCUUGAGUGCAAUGGUGCCAUCUUGGCUCACUGCAACCUCCCCUCCUGGGUUCAAGCGAUUCUCCCACCUCAGCCUCCUGAGUAGCUGGGACUACAGGUGUGCACCACCAUGCCCAGCUAAUUUUUGUAUUUUUAGUAGAGACAGGGUUUCACCGUAUUGGCCAGGCUGGUCUCGAACUCCUGACCUCAAGUGAUCCGCCCGCCUCAGCCUUCCAAAGUGCUGGGAUUACAGGCAUAAGCCACCAUGCCCUGCCUUAUUUUCUUAAAUUAUAUAUGAUGAAAAUGUAAAAGGUUUUUGCUAAGCCUCAUGUAGCUGCCCUCCACAGCAGUCACCUGUGUGUUUUUUAAACUCUCGAGUUUAGCAAGUGUGGGUAUCAUCCUGCUUUGAGGCGGAACUCGGCACACACACACUGUGCCUGCCCUACAGAAUCCGGCUUUUUCAGCAGCUCAGACUGUGCCAUCGCCUCUUGGGAGCAUGACAGUGGCUCAGUUUGUGAGGGGACACCAUCCAGGUUGCUGAGUCAUUAGGAAUCACAGAAUUCCUACGGAAGAAAGAAAUACACCCAGACAACCUUGGACCCAAGCACCUCAGCCGAGACAUGGAUGGGGAGCAGCUAGAGGGAGCUAGCAGCGAGAAGAGGGAACGUGAGGCUGCGGAGGAGGGACUGGCCUCAGUGAAAAGGCCCAGAAGAGAAGCCCUGUCCAACGAUACCACUGAAUCUCUUGCUGCCAACAGCAGAGGCCGGGAGAAGCCCAGGCCUUUGCAUGCUUUGGCCACUGGUUUUUCCCCUCCAGUAAAUGUGACUGUCUCUCCCCGUUCUGAAGAAAGCCAUACAACGAUGGUUUCUGGUAGCAAUGGGAGCGUGUUCCAGGCGGGCCCGCAGCUUCAGGCACUGGCUAACUUAGAAGCCAGGAGGGGGUCUAUAGGUGCUGCUCUCUCAUCCCGGGAUGUCAGUGGGCUGCCUGUUUAUGCUCAGUCAGGAGAGCCUAGGAGGCUGACCCAGGCACAGGUGGCAGCGUUUCCUGGAGAGAAUGCUUUGGAACACUCUUCAAACCAGGACACCUGGGACAGCCUGAGGAGCCCGGGUUUCUGCAGCCCUUUGUCAUCUGGUGGUGGAGCAGAGUCUCUGCCGCCUGGGGGGCCUGGACAUGCAGAGGCAGGACACCUCGGCAAGGUUUGUGACUUCCACCUGAACCACCAGCAGCCCAGCCCCAGCAGCGUCCUGCCUGCAGAGGUGGCAGCCCCUCCGCUUGAGAAAAUUUUGUCUGUGGAUAGCGUGGCAGUGGACUGUGCCUACAGGACUGUGCCCAAGCCAGGGCCUCAGCCCGGCCCACAUGGAUCACUAUUGACUGAAGGGCGUCUCAGAAGCCUUUCGGGGGACUUGAACCGGUUCCCCUGUGGGAUGGAGGUGCACUCUGGCCAGAGAGAACUGGAGAGCGUGGUUGCUGUCAGCGAAGCCAUGGCUUUUGAAAUUUCCAAUGGGAGCCAUGAGUUACUGUCUCAGGGACAGAAGCAGAUUUUUAUUCAGACUUCCGAUGGGCUUAUCUUGUCCCCUCCAGGUACAAUAGUGUCUCAGGAGGAGGACAUUGUCAUAGUGACUGAUGUAGAGGGGCGUGCCUGCGGAUGGGCCCGCCAGAAGGAGUUCCUCUAGAAGCUGUGGAGUCGGUCGUCACCGUGGAGCCGGAGCCCUCACAGUGAAGUGGAGUCAGAUCCUAGAUUCGUCUGAUUUUAUCCAGAGAAGGUCUAUGGCAAGCAAUGUAUAUUUUUCUAAUGUGAAUACUGCACAGAUGAACCUUUUAUUUAUAAAGAAUAAUGUCUUUCUAC
This 2123-nucleotide small RNA is filed under the name Pan troglodytes (chimpanzee). RNAcentral describes it as "processed transcript". The record is from RNAcentral. Lineage: Eukaryota; Metazoa; Chordata; Mammalia; Primates; Hominidae.